GACGAACGCUGGCGGCGUGCUUAACACAUGCAAGUCGAACGAUGAAGAAAAGAAUUGAAGCUUCGGCAGAAAUUCAUUUCGGAUUAGUGGCAGACGGGUGAGUAACGCGUGAGCAACCUACCUCUUACAAAGGGAUAGCCUCGGGAAACCGGGAUUAAUACCAUAUAACAUUGCGACGAAGCAUUUCGAUGCAAUCAAAGCUACGGCGGUAAGAGAUGGGCUCGCGUCCCAUUAACCAGAUGGUGAGGUAACGGCUCACCAUAGUAACGAUGGGUAACCGGCCUGAGAGGGAGAACGGUCACACUGGAACAGAGACACGGUCCAGACUUCUGCGAGAGGCAGCAGUGGGGAAUAUUGCACUAUGGAGAGAACUCUGAUGCCGACGCCGCGUGAGUGAUGAUGGAAUUCGUUUCGUAAAACUCUGUUCUAUGGGAAGAAAAGGACUGUACCAUAGGAGAAAGCUCCGGCUAAAUACGUG
Molecule: ribosomal RNA, 478 nt
Filed under: uncultured bacterium
Lineage: Bacteria
Description: partial 16S ribosomal RNA
Rfam family: Bacterial small subunit ribosomal RNA
Source: RNAcentral